RNAcentral lists this ribosomal RNA (497 nucleotides) under uncultured bacterium. RNAcentral's name for it is "partial 16S ribosomal RNA". It matches the Rfam family "Bacterial small subunit ribosomal RNA", at positions 28 to 507 of the family's 1533-position model. The record is from RNAcentral.
GAUGAACGCUGGCGGCGUGCCUAAUACAUGCAAGUCGAGCGAACAGACGAGGAGCUUGCUCCUCUGACGUUAGCGGCGGACGGGUGAGUAACACGUGGAUAACCUACCUAUAAGACUGGGAUAACUUCGGGAAACCGUAGCUAAUACCGGACAAUAUAUUGAACCGCAUGGUUCAAUAGUGAAAGACGGUUUUGCUGUCACUUAUAGAUGGAUCCGCGCCGCAUUAGCUAGUUGGUAAGGUAACGGCUUACCAAGGCAACGAUGCGUAGCCGACCUGAGAGGGUGAUCGGCCACACUGGAACUGAGACACGGUCCAGACUCCUACGGGAGGCAGCAGUAGGGAAUCUUCCGCAAUGGGCGAAAGCCUGACGGAGCAACGCCGCGUGAGUGAUGAAGGUCUUCGGAUCGUAAAACUCUGUUAUUAGGGAAGAACAAAUGUGUAAGUAACUAUGCACGUCUUGACGGUACCUAAUCAGAAAGCCACGGCUAACUACGUG